Long non-coding RNA from Ostrea edulis (European flat oyster), 723 nucleotides. RefSeq lists it as uncharacterized. NCBI's taxonomy places the organism in Eukaryota, Metazoa, Mollusca, Bivalvia, Ostreida, Ostreidae. The record is from RefSeq and is a predicted model, not a curated record. The transcript is spliced from 3 exons.
GAGGGUUUACGAUGGGUGUGACAGGUCAACAGAGGAUGCUUACUCCUCCUAGCCUAGGUUUACGAUGGGUGUGACAGGUCAACAGAGGAUGCUUACUCCUCCUAGCCUAGGUUUAUGAUGGGUGUGACAGGUCAACAGAGGAUGCUUACUCCUCCUAGCCUAGGUUUAUGAUGGGUGUGACAGGUCAACAGAGGAUGCAUACUCCUCCUAGCCUAGGUCAACAGAGGAUGCUUACUCCUCCUAGGUUUAUGAUGGGUGUGACAGGUCAACAGAGGAUGCAUACUCCUCCUAGCCUAGGUUUAUGAUGGGUGUGACAGGUCAACAGAGGAUGCUUACUCCUCCUAGGCACCUGAUCCUACCUUUGGUGUUUCCAGGUUCCGUACUUGACCUACUCUCAGUUUUGUUUUCUUUAGAGGAUUUAUGAGAUUGAUCAUUGAUCAAUGUUCAUUAUCUGAACCUUUAUUUAUUCUAAAAGAUUACCACAGCAAUCUUUGAAUUUCUACAUAUGCCAACUGUAGCCAAGGGCAUAAAAAAUAUUCACUCAUUAUGUACAUUAAAUAAUAUAUGUACAAAGAGUGUAAAUCUUUAGAGUAUACCAGUGGACCCAAUCUGGUUCUAGGUUCAUAGAAUGAAAUAAUCUAAACUGCAUGAGGGCACUUCCAUAAAAAAUAAAUAUACUUAUUAAAGUUCCAGGGAAACACACACGAGUAUUAUGAAUUCAGC